This 213-nucleotide ribosomal RNA is filed under the name Xylaria sp. RNAcentral describes it as "partial large subunit ribosomal RNA". Lineage: Eukaryota; Fungi; Ascomycota; Sordariomycetes; Xylariales; Xylariaceae. The record is from RNAcentral.
AAGCGUUUGCGACCAGACCUUUUCCUGGCGGAUCAUCCGGUGUUCUUCACCGGUGCACUUCGCCAGGUCGAGGCCAGCAUCGGUUUCCACGGGGGGAUAAAGGCUCUGGGAACGUAGCUCCCUCGGGAGUGUUAUAGCCCUCUGCAUAAUACCCUCGCGGGGACCGAGGACCGCGCCUCCGGGCAAGGAUGCUGGCGUAAUGGUCGUCAACGA